UACGGAAGGCAGCAGUGGGGAAUAUUGCACAAUGGGCGAAAGCCUGAUGCAGCUAUGCCGCGUGUAUGAAGAAGGCCUUAGGGUUGUAAAGUACUUUCAUCGGGGAGGAAAAAACAAAACUAAUAAUUUUAUUUCUUGACGUUACCCGAAAAAGAAGCACCGGCUAACUCCGUGCCAGCAGCCGCGGUAAUACGGAGGGUGCUAGCGUUAAUCAGAAUUACUGGGCGUAAAGAGCACGUAGGUGGUUUUUUUAAAGUCAGAUGUGAAUCCCUGGGCUUAACCUAGGAACUGCAUUUUGAAACUGAAAUACUAGAGUAUCGUAGAGGGAGGUAGAAUUCUAGGUGUAGCGGUGAAAUGCGUAGAUAUCUGGAGGAAUACCUGUGGCGAAAGCGGCCUCCUAAACGAAUACUGACACUGAGGUGCGAAAGCGUGGGGAGCAAACGAGGAUUAGAUACC
RNAcentral lists this ribosomal RNA (456 nucleotides) under uncultured bacterium. Its description in RNAcentral is "bacterial SSU rRNA". It matches the Rfam family "Bacterial small subunit ribosomal RNA", at positions 340 to 786 of the family's 1533-position model. The record is from RNAcentral.